UGGGGAAUCUUGGACAAUGGGCGCAAGCCUGAUCCAGCCAUGCCGCGUGAGUGAUGAAGGCCUUAGGGUUGUAAAGCUCUGUCAGGAGGAAAGAAAAGUCGGCCGGAUAAUACUCGGUCGACCUGACGGUACCUCCAAAGGAAGCACCGGCUAACUCCGUGCCAGCAGCCGCGGUAAUACGGAGGGUGCAAGCGUUGUUCGGAAUUACUGGGCGUAAAGCGCGUGUAGGUGGUCGAGUAAGUCGAAUGUGAAAGCCCCGGGCUCAACCCGGGAAGUGCAUCCGAAACUGCUCGACUAGAGUCCCGGAGAGGAAGGCAGAAUUCCCAAUGUAGGGGUGAAAUCCGUAGAUAUUGGGAGGAAUACCGGUGGCGAAGGCGGCCUUCUGGACGGUGACUGACACUCAGACGCGAAAGCGUGGGGAGCAAACAGGAUUAGAUACCCCAGUAGUCCCUGAGCGGGCUGGCAAGGCG
Molecule: ribosomal RNA, 470 nt
Filed under: uncultured bacterium
Lineage: Bacteria
Description: bacterial SSU rRNA
Rfam family: Bacterial small subunit ribosomal RNA
Source: RNAcentral